UACGAUAAAGGCAAACCCUGGGCAAUCAGGGGACGCAAAGUAAAUAGGGUCUUUUAUAGGGGGUAUGCAAUUCGCCCCUGCCUCUGGUAAAAAGACAGCCUUACUGCCGAAG
This 112-nucleotide non-coding RNA is filed under the name Candidatus Brocadia. RNAcentral describes it as "c-di-GMP sequence". It matches the Rfam family "c-di-GMP-I riboswitch aptamer". Rfam says of the family: GEMM was predicted in a large-scale screen for bacterial structured RNA regulatory elements. Genes associated with GEMM are involved in a diverse array of functions, including chemotaxis regulation, signal transduction, secretion and chitin. Lineage: Bacteria; Pseudomonadati; Planctomycetota; Candidatus Brocadiia; Candidatus Brocadiales; Candidatus Brocadiaceae. The record is from RNAcentral.